Molecule: ribosomal RNA, 207 nt
Filed under: uncultured bacterium
Lineage: Bacteria
Description: partial 16S ribosomal RNA
Rfam family: Bacterial small subunit ribosomal RNA
Source: RNAcentral
CACGUAGGCGGUCUGGUAAGUCAGAUGUGAAAGCCCGGGGCUUAACCCCGGAAGUGCAUUUGAUACUGUCAGGCUUGAGUAUGGGAGAGGGAAGUGGAAUUCCUGGUGUAGAGGUGAAAUUCGUAGAUAUCAGGAGGAACACCGGUGGCGAAGGCGACUUCCUGGACCAAUACUGACGCUGAGGUGCGAAGGCGUGGGUAGCAAACA